UAUGUUGCAAGUACAGAUGUGUCAAGUUAGAUGCAAAAUGUAGAUUCUUUAUCUUUGAUAUAUUAUUAUUUUGAAGAUACAGAAUUCUUAAACUUGUAUAAGCGCCAAUGUUGCCCUAAUAAAACACAACACUUUCUUUCGACAAUAUCUGUUGUCAAUUUCACCAUGUUUGCAAGAGAAAUAUGAAUUAUGAGAGUAUAACAAAUGGCUAAAGAUUAUCGCCGAGUUUUAUUGAUUAAACAUAAGACAUAACGGUAAUACGAAAGGAUUGGAUAAAUUAAGUCUUAUGCUGCAACUUUAUGUGAAAAGUAAUAAAAGAGAAAUUUAUUCAUUAUAUACAUCUUAAUAUGUUACAAUUCCAUUUAACAGAUAUUAUAGGUUAAUUUCUUCCAGCUGAUAUGUGCAAUGUGUAAAAAA
This is a long non-coding RNA of Monomorium pharaonis (pharaoh ant), 417 nucleotides long. RefSeq lists it as uncharacterized. The transcript is spliced from 2 exons. Lineage: Eukaryota; Metazoa; Arthropoda; Insecta; Hymenoptera; Formicidae. The record is from RefSeq and is a predicted model, not a curated record.